RNAcentral lists this ribosomal RNA (256 nucleotides) under uncultured bacterium. RNAcentral's name for it is "partial 16S ribosomal RNA". It matches the Rfam family "Bacterial small subunit ribosomal RNA", at positions 521 to 776 of the family's 1533-position model. The record is from RNAcentral.
UAAGACGAGGGAUCCUAGCGUUGUUCGGAAUUAUUGGGCGUAAAGCGGGUGUAGGUGGCUUUGUAAGUCAGGUGUGAAAGCCCAGGGCUCAACCCUGGAAGUGCAUUUGAUACUGCGAAGCUUGAGUGUGGGAGAGGUGAGUAGAAUUCCAGGUGUAGUGGUGAAAUACGUAGAUAUCUGGAGGAAUACCGGAGGCGAAGGCGGCUCACUGGCCCAACACUGACACUCAGACCCGAAAGCGUGGGGAUCAAACAGG